CAGGACGAACGCUGGCGGCGUGCCUAACACAUGCAAGUCGAACGGGGAUUUGUUUCGGCAGAAUCCUAGUGGCGAACGGGUGAGUAACGCGUAGGCAACCUGCCCUCCGGCCGGGGACAACACUCCGAAAGGGGUGCUAAUACCGGAUACGAAGUCUGUGCCGCAUGGUACGGAUUUGAAAGAUGGCCUCUAUUUAUAAGCUAUCGCCGGGGGAUGGGCCUGCGUCCGAUUAGCUGGUUGGUGGGGUAACGGCCUACCAAGGCGACGAUCGGUAGCCGGUCUGAGAGGAUGAACGGCCACAUUGGGACUGAGACACGGCCCAGACUCCUACGGGAGGCAGCAGUGGGGAAUCUUCCGCAAUGGGCGCAAGCCUGACGGAGCAACGCCGCGUGAGUGAGGAAGUUCUUCGGAACGUAAAGCUCUGUUGUUCCUGACGAACCUCCCUUCUAUCAACAACGGAAGGGACUGACGGUAGGGAACGAGGAAGCCACGGCUAACUACGUGCCAGCCGCCGC
This 515-nucleotide ribosomal RNA is filed under the name uncultured bacterium. Its description in RNAcentral is "bacterial SSU rRNA". It matches the Rfam family "Bacterial small subunit ribosomal RNA", at positions 25 to 518 of the family's 1533-position model. The record is from RNAcentral.